Non-coding RNA from Schizosaccharomyces pombe (fission yeast), 742 nucleotides. Lineage: Eukaryota; Fungi; Ascomycota; Schizosaccharomycetes; Schizosaccharomycetales; Schizosaccharomycetaceae. The record is from the annotation of a GenBank genome assembly.
GACGGCAAAGGGCGCGCAAGUAAACUGUUCAGCAAUCUGCUAACAUUCAUACCAAAACCUAAUUCAUAAGUUGAAUGCUCUGUAAUUGAUUCACUGAAUGCCUAAUUUCGGCAACGCCAUUCAAAAGUUGGACCACGCAAGAAAUUCAGCAAUCAUUGGAAUAUGACAAUGAUUUACGCACUUCAUCAACCCGAACUGCAAUUGGAAUAACGAUAUGUUCAAUAAAGUACUAGAAGGUUCACUAUAUUUAAACAUGCAAUUAUAUUUUUUGUAAAAAAAUCCAUGAAUAUAGUAAAAGAAUGUAAGUGAUUGAAGAGCUGAACAGGCAUGCAAAAUUCAGUAAGCUGCUUAUAAGAAUGUAUAAGAACACAUUACCCAUUCAUUAUUGAUCUUGCUUAAGCAGCCUUUCAAAAUCCUCGAUGAAUCGAAGUGAGGAAUCGUUUAAUAAAUGUCACCAAGGAUUUUUUUUAAGCCUUGGUAUAAAGCGGUGUCAGAAUACUUUUAUUUGUUGAUGCAGUUCCUAAUUACCAUACUAGAAAAGUAUUAAAAUUCCGGGAUACUGAAUUUGGACCGUAAUUGAAUUUAUUUGUCCAUCCAUCCAAAAUGUAUAAUGAUGCUUUAAAUAUCAUAACCAAAUUUUUCUGUUUAUUUCAACCUUGCCUAUUCCAACUGUCUUCUAAUUCAAUAAUUGUUUUUAAAAUUUCGUAAUUUACCUACUUUAAUAGAUUUAUUUAUUCAAUUU